This 460-nucleotide ribosomal RNA is filed under the name uncultured bacterium. Its description in RNAcentral is "partial 16S ribosomal RNA". It matches the Rfam family "Bacterial small subunit ribosomal RNA", at positions 338 to 795 of the family's 1533-position model. The record is from RNAcentral.
CCUACGGGGUGCAGCAGUGAGGAAUAUUGGUCAAUGGGCUUACGCCUGAACCAGCCAAGUCGCGUGAGGGAAGACUGCCCUAUGGGUUGUAAACCUCUUUUGUCAGGGAGCAAUUGGCGCUACGUGUAGCGUUAUCGAGAGUACCUGAAGAAAAAGCAUCGGCUAACUCCGUGCCAGCAGCCGCGGUAAUACGGAGGAUGCGAGCGUUAUCCGGAUUUAUUGGGUUUAAAGGGUGCGUAGGCGGAAUGCCAAGUCAGCGGUAAAAUCGCGGGGCUCAACCUCGCUCCGCCGUUGAAACUGGCGGUCUUGAGUGGGCGAGAAGUAUGCGGAAUGCGUGGUGUAGCGGUGAAAUGCAUAGAUAUCACGCAGAACUCCGAUUGCGAAGGCAGCAUACCGGCGCCCAACUGACGCUGAAGCACGAAAGCGUGGGUAUCGAACAGGAUUAGAUACCCGAGUAGUC